AACGCGAAGAACCUUACCCAGGCUCGAAAUGCAGAGGGCGAUAGCAGAGAUGUUAUUUUCCGAAAGGACUUCUGUAUAGGUGCUGCAUGGCUGUCGUCAGCUCGUGCCGUGAGGUGUUGGGUUAAGUCCCGCAACGAGCGCAACCCUUAUCAUUAGUUGCCAACACGAAAGGUGGGGACUCUAGUGAGACUGCCUAGGUUAACUAGGAGGAAGGUGAGGAUGACGUCAAGUCCGCAUGGCCUUUAUGUCUGGGGCUACACACGUGCUACAAUGGUCGGUACAGAAGGCAGCAAAACCGUAAGGUGGAGCAAAUCCCCAAAACCGAUCUCAGUUCAGAUUGUAGUCUGCAACUCGACUACAUGAAGUUGGAAUUGCUAGUAAUGGCGUGUCAGCAACAACGCCGUGAAUACGUUCACGGGCCUUGUACACACCGUAGUAC
This 439-nucleotide ribosomal RNA is filed under the name uncultured bacterium. Its description in RNAcentral is "bacterial SSU rRNA". It matches the Rfam family "Bacterial small subunit ribosomal RNA", at positions 958 to 1398 of the family's 1533-position model. The record is from RNAcentral.